Molecule: ribosomal RNA, 1550 nt
Filed under: Klebsiella pneumoniae
Lineage: Bacteria; Pseudomonadati; Pseudomonadota; Gammaproteobacteria; Enterobacterales; Enterobacteriaceae
Also listed under: 1 other name
Description: bacterial SSU rRNA
Rfam family: Bacterial small subunit ribosomal RNA
Source: RNAcentral
AAAUUGAAGAGUUUGAUCAUGGCUCAGAUUGAACGCUGGCGGCAGGCCUAACACAUGCAAGUCGAGCGGUAGCACAGAGAGCUUGCUCUCGGGUGACGAGCGGCGGACGGGUGAGUAAUGUCUGGGAAACUGCCUGAUGGAGGGGGAUAACUACUGGAAACGGUAGCUAAUACCGCAUAAUGUCGUAAGACCAAAGUGGGGGACCUUCGGGCCUCAUGCCAUCAGAUGUGCCCAGAUGGGAUUAGCUAGUAGGUGGGGUAACGGCUCACCUAGGCGACGAUCCCUAGCUGGUCUGAGAGGAUGACCAGCCACACUGGAACUGAGACACGGUCCAGACUCCUACGGGAGGCAGCAGUGGGGAAUAUUGCACAAUGGGCGCAAGCCUGAUGCAGCCAUGCCGCGUGUGUGAAGAAGGCCUUCGGGUUGUAAAGCACUUUCAGCGGGGAGGAAGGCGAUAAGGUUAAUAACCUUGUCGAUUGACGUUACCCGCAGAAGAAGCACCGGCUAACUCCGUGCCAGCAGCCGCGGUAAUACGGAGGGUGCAAGCGUUAAUCGGAAUUACUGGGCGUAAAGCGCACGCAGGCGGUCUGUCAAGUCGGAUGUGAAAUCCCCGGGCUCAACCUGGGAACUGCAUUCGAAACUGGCAGGCUAGAGUCUUGUAGAGGGGGGUAGAAUUCCAGGUGUAGCGGUGAAAUGCGUAGAGAUCUGGAGGAAUACCGGUGGCGAAGGCGGCCCCCUGGACAAAGACUGACGCUCAGGUGCGAAAGCGUGGGGAGCAAACAGGAUUAGAUACCCUGGUAGUCCACGCCGUAAACGAUGUCGAUUUGGAGGUUGUGCCCUUGAGGCGUGGCUUCCGGAGCUAACGCGUUAAAUCGACCGCCUGGGGAGUACGGCCGCAAGGUUAAAACUCAAAUGAAUUGACGGGGGCCCGCACAAGCGGUGGAGCAUGUGGUUUAAUUCGAUGCAACGCGAAGAACCUUACCUGGUCUUGACAUCCACAGAACUUUCCAGAGAUGGAUUGGUGCCUUCGGGAACUGUGAGACAGGUGCUGCAUGGCUGUCGUCAGCUCGUGUUGUGAAAUGUUGGGUUAAGUCCCGCAACGAGCGCAACCCUUAUCCUUUGUUGCCAGCGGUCCGGCCGGGAACUCAAAGGAGACUGCCAGUGAUAAACUGGAGGAAGGUGGGGAUGACGUCAAGUCAUCAUGGCCCUUACGACCAGGGCUACACACGUGCUACAAUGGCAUAUACAAAGAGAAGCGACCUCGCGAGAGCAAGCGGACCUCAUAAAGUAUGUCGUAGUCCGGAUUGGAGUCUGCAACUCGACUCCAUGAAGUCGGAAUCGCUAGUAAUCGUAGAUCAGAAUGCUACGGUGAAUACGUUCCCGGGCCUUGUACACACCGCCCGUCACACCAUGGGAGUGGGUUGCAAAAGAAGUAGGUAGCUUAACCUUCGGGAGGGCGCUUACCACUUUGUGAUUCAUGACUGGGGUGAAGUCGUAACAAGGUAACCGUAGGGGAACCUGCGGUUGGAUCACCUCCUUACCUUAAAGAA